AAAACGACUCUCAACAACGGAUAUCUUGGCUCCCGCAACGAUGAAGAACGCAGCGAAAUGCGAUACGUAGUGUGAAUUGCAGAAUCCUGUGAACCAUCGAAUUUUUGAACGCAGAUUGCGCCCAAGGCCUUUUCCGUUGGGGGCAUGUCUGUCUGGGU
RNAcentral lists this ribosomal RNA (158 nucleotides) under Calophyllum inophyllum. RNAcentral's name for it is "5.8S ribosomal RNA". It matches the Rfam family "5.8S ribosomal RNA". From Rfam's summary of the family: 5.8S ribosomal RNA (5.8S rRNA) is a component of the large subunit of the eukaryotic ribosome. It is transcribed by RNA polymerase I as part of the 45S precursor that also contains 18S and 28S rRNA. Lineage: Eukaryota; Viridiplantae; Streptophyta; Magnoliopsida; Malpighiales; Calophyllaceae. The record is from RNAcentral.